CCACCAGGUAGGAUAAUCCUUGUCUGUUCCUCUAUUCAGAGGGUAGAUAGAACAUGAUGAUUAGAGUUGGCAUGAUUUGUGAUUAAUGUUUCUGCAUGAUUAGGGCUUGUAUAACCCUAAUUGCUCCUAUCUGAU
Small nucleolar RNA from Sorex araneus (European shrew), 135 nucleotides. Its record names the gene U8. It matches the Rfam family "U8 small nucleolar RNA". Rfam says of the family: U8 is a member of the C/D class of snoRNA which contain the C (UGAUGA) and D (CUGA) box motifs. U8 is the RNA component of a small complex (the U8 snoRNP) which is required for accumulation of mature large subunit ribosomal RNAs, 5.8S and 28S rRNAs. The record is from Ensembl. Lineage: Eukaryota; Metazoa; Chordata; Mammalia; Eulipotyphla; Soricidae.